UACGUAGGUGGCAAGCGUUGUCCGGAUUUAUUGGGCGUAAAGCGCGCGCAGGCGGAUCCUUAAGUCUGGUGUGAAAGCCCCCGGCUCAACCGGGGAGGGGCAUUGGAAACUGGGGAACUUGAGUGCAGAAGAGGAGAGUGGAAUUCCAUGUGUAGAGGUGAAAUGCGUAGAUAUAUGGAGGAACACCAGUGGCGAAGGCGACUCUCUGGUCUGUAACUGACGCUGAGGCUCGAAAGCGUGGGUAGCAAACAGG
Molecule: ribosomal RNA, 253 nt
Filed under: uncultured bacterium
Lineage: Bacteria
Description: partial 16S ribosomal RNA
Rfam family: Bacterial small subunit ribosomal RNA
Source: RNAcentral